This 397-nucleotide ribosomal RNA is filed under the name uncultured bacterium. Its description in RNAcentral is "partial 16S ribosomal RNA". It matches the Rfam family "Bacterial small subunit ribosomal RNA", at positions 523 to 918 of the family's 1533-position model. The record is from RNAcentral.
AUACGUAGGUGACAAGCGUUAUCCGGAUUUACUGGGCGUAAAGGGCGUGUAGGCGGUCUUGCAAGUCAGAAGUGAAAUUCCUGAGCUCAACUCGGGCGCUGCUUCUGAAACUGCAGGACUUGAGUGCUGGAGGGGAUAGCGGAAUUCCUAGGGGAGCGGUAAAAUGCGCAGAUAUUAGGAAGAACACCGGUGGCGAAGGCGGCUAUCUGGACAGUAACUGACGCUGAGGCGCGAAAGCGUGGGGAGCAAACAGGAUUAGAUACCCUGGUAGUCCACGCCGUAAGCGAUGAAUACUAGGUGUAGGGGGUAUCGACUCCCUCUGUGCCGCAGUUAACACAAUAAGUAUUCCGCCUGGGGAGUACGGCCGCAAGGUUGAAACUCAAAUGAAUUGACGGGG